GGUAGGGUGGCCGAGUGUAGGCGGCGGGUUGUAAACCCGAAGAUAGAGGUUUGAGCCCUCUUCCUAUCA
RNAcentral lists this transfer RNA (69 nucleotides) under Narcetes stomias (blackhead salmon). RNAcentral describes it as "tRNA-Tyr". It matches the Rfam family "tRNA". From Rfam's summary of the family: Transfer RNA (tRNA) molecules are approximately 80 nucleotides in length. Their secondary structure includes four short double-helical elements and three loops (D, anti-codon, and T loops). The record is from RNAcentral. Lineage: Eukaryota; Metazoa; Chordata; Actinopteri; Alepocephaliformes; Alepocephalidae.